GCGCCCGUAGCUCAACUGGACAGAGCGCCGGGCUUCGAACCCGUAGGCUGCGCGUUCGAGUCGCGCCGGGCGCG
This 74-nucleotide transfer RNA is filed under the name Pseudomonadota bacterium. Its description in RNAcentral is "tRNA-Arg". It matches the Rfam family "tRNA". Rfam says of the family: Transfer RNA (tRNA) molecules are approximately 80 nucleotides in length. Their secondary structure includes four short double-helical elements and three loops (D, anti-codon, and T loops). RNAcentral also lists the same sequence under 1 other name. The record is from RNAcentral. Lineage: Bacteria; Pseudomonadati; Pseudomonadota.